Long non-coding RNA from Mustela lutreola (European mink), 267 nucleotides. RefSeq lists it as uncharacterized. The transcript has 3 exons. NCBI's taxonomy places the organism in Eukaryota, Metazoa, Chordata, Mammalia, Carnivora, Mustelidae. The record is from RefSeq and is a predicted model, not a curated record.
UCAAGCCUGUGCUGUGGAAAUACCACUCCGGUGCCCAUGAGAGGUGGAAUUCUGCACUCGCACAUCUCCGUGUAGCCCAGAUGGACAGGAAAUUGUCCCUUGUGGUGUGGCUGUGUGACUACAUUCCGGGCAAUGGGACAGAACUAACGACCUGGCAGCAGCUCCAAGAAGAGUGACUUUGGAAGAACGUACAGCCCGCUUCGGGGGAUUUCCUCACUCACGGAAAAUCUGCAGUCCUUAAACACGGGAUUGGUUUUCUCUGAAAAU